Molecule: long non-coding RNA, 3138 nt
Organism: Branchiostoma floridae (Florida lancelet)
Lineage: Eukaryota; Metazoa; Chordata; Leptocardii; Amphioxiformes; Branchiostomatidae
Exons: 2
Source: RefSeq, a predicted model, not a curated record
CGUUGUUUGGGGCAACUGUUAAAGUCACGAAACAAAACCAGUUAGCAUUUCUGUAUUAUCCAUAACCACUCCGUUUUGACAAACCCUUUGUGAGCCUCGCUACCCCACGCCACCGAAUACCCUCCUCAGACAGGAUGUACACAAGUGCCGCCAGAAAAUAGUUCCACUCAAGAAGGAAGCAGCCAUCGAAUUAGAGGUCGAUUUUAGACCUCUGGCAUUAUUUCCUGCUUUGGUAUAAUAUGUGCCUAUCGAUUUAAAAUGAAAUAGCUGUUCACGUCGAAUUAUUGGCUGCUGUAUAGCUGGCCAGUUUGACGGCGGAUGGAUAUGUACAGUAUUUCCCGUCGCACAGUCUCGCAGCUUUAGUUGGAGAAGAAGGGCGGUGGCGAGAGAAGCUCCUGAGAUGAGGCAAACAUCAAUGCAGACCACAUCGACAGCUGUGCAACCCCGAUAGAGAAGUUUCGUAGUCUGGUCGACAAAGUCAAUAUCUAUCAGAAAUGAACUCAACACAGCUUGCAACAUCUGACCAUAAAAGGAGGUUCCCAAAACAAUAUUUAUCUACAAUGAAACGUUAUCAUUGGUGGCGGAUCAAAUCGUGAGAUAUCGCUGAUGACAUCGAUGUUCAUUUUAGCUUGUGGCAGAACAUCCAACUUACUCUGGGGUUGUUAGUCAGGUCUAUUGUUACAGCUGUCCAGCCUCUUGGAAACCCAGACUUCGGGGACUGUGCCUCUGGCUCAGUGGGGGCUGGUUCAGCUUAGUUAGAUGGGUUUGUUGGAUGUUCAAAUCGUAUUUGUAGGGAACAAACCCGUACAAUUUGUUAUCAGUGACUGGCCAAGGCUUCCACAAGUGUUCCCAGCCAAGAUAGCCACACAUGCAGCGUACUAUCCACCGGAACUUUGAACAGUAUGAGUGAAUACAUUCAUGUGUAAACGGUGAUGACGGACGGGGCCGGUCACCGGUUGUCGUGUCCGAGGGAAAAGUCACAGAGUCUUUAUUACGUCAGUUUCAAACGUCUUUUUGGUCUUCAUGUAAACGAUGGUUGAGGACGGAGCCGGCCACCGGUUGUCGUAAACCGAGAGAAGACAAUGGCAAGGAUGAUGUCCAAUGUCUUUAUUCCAAUCAAAGUCGUCUAUUUUACAAAGAUAGCGGCAGCACUACUCUGAAGCCAAGUGUCCGGUCGAAGUCUCUGCUAACCCGCCCUUCUGCUCGGUCGUUUAGGUGUAGUCCUGGAGUCAGGCUUUCCCGACUUCCUGACUGUCGAAGUUCCCAAAGUUUCAACUUUUAUUUUGUCAAUUUUUGGGAUCCUCCCCUUGGCCAAAUCUGAAUAACAAAUGCGAAUCAGCCUCCCUGUCAUUCAUUGGGACCGUAGGAGAAAGUCUUAAAGGUUACAACCGGUAUCAUUACUUGUCCAAAGAUAACACUUGGUAUAGCACACAUUCAGUGAUUAUUGUACUUCUAACACUUGCAUCUUUUCUAGAUUCAAAACAACACUUCAAGAAUUGGCAAAGUUUAACAAAGGUCUUGAGAAUUUGUUCCGUAUGACCCCAUUCUGUCUUUGAUUGACAUGUCAACUUACUACCCUCGGGUUUGUGCAGUCAACGAUCUGAUAACGUACCAUAACUAAUCAUUAUUUCUAUUACUACAGAGCAUCUGACUAGAGCCAAGGCCUGGGGAUGGUACCAGUGAAGUUCAAAUAAACAGGCUUUCCCUACGCUGGUUCUCAAACCAAGCAGUCUUUAUCUGCCAAAGAAUCGUUUUAGAAGACGUCCGUCGGCCGAGCUCUAGCCAUCUGCGUGUUUACUUAUCACGGGGGAAGAUAUCGCUAAUCGGUCACUUGAGAUGACACCCUCGCCCACAGUCCGGGGUAGUGGUCAGUUAAGGUAGGCAAAAGUAAGGAAAUAUAUUGUUAGUCAGCUAUCAUUACAUCAAGCGGGCCUAGCUUGCUAGGGACCUGCUUACUCCAAUUAUUCCAUGGUGUGGCAAAUAGACUUAGAGGUCUUAGGUCAAGGUCGGCGUUAGGAUCUUUUACGCACUAGCCCGCUCUUUGAAUGGGACGACCUCAGGUCUAAACUAGUGGUUAGGAUUUGGUUUACUCUAUUUCUCUCAACUCUCACCAUAAACCAAGGCUCAAACAAGAUGAGGUGUCAAGUUUACAUUCCUUUUAUUCGGACUUUGUACGGCUCACAACAUUGUUCAAGAUCAAGGCACAGGUACAAGGCAUACAAUGAGAUAUCAAUGCAUCAAAUACAACUCCAUUCGCAUGUCAAACCUAACUUACACUAUCAGGGACCCUCCCAAAAAGAGGCGAAUUUGGAACACAACAGCGCUCGUCAGAAUAUAGGAACCAUCAAAUCUUACCAGGAAAUCAGUUGCUUGGAUGCAGUAGGAAAAUCUGUCCGCGAAACAUUUAGGUUAUUUUGAAAACUAAGGAUGAGCCAAAGUGUCGCCGUCAAGGAGACGCGGUCGGGCCGCCCGUCCGAAGGCGAGCGGCCUACCCGGAGCCGAAGACGCUGGUCUCAGAGCCAAGGGAUCUUCAAGAAGAGAUGGGAUGAACCAAGAGGGCGCCGAAGAAGAGAAGUUCCAAGAGAGCGACCAUUAGAAAAACGCGGUCAAUUAGAUACGAGGUUUUGCAUACUAAUUUAGAAGUAGCCAAACAGAAAGUCUGAGAUUGGUCAACAGUUAGACUUGGGGGCGGAGACAUGGUGACUCAUUUUUAUUGUGACGUCAUGAAAGAAGGAACUUUACGUAACGAUCAAAGGGGAGUUCCGUUGAAGACAGGAGAAGCUCCACCCAGGGGCGAUUCACUAAGGGGUUGGGGCCUAAAGUUAUCCUUGCUACAAUGGGAACAGCAGUACAACCCAGAUCAACUCCUAGCACCAGGAGAUGAAUAAGUAAGUUUUCACACAUACAAUUGUAUGUAUACUUUUUAAUAGUUUCUGCUGCACCUUGCUGGUAACUGAAUUGCCGACAGGUGCAAAGGGUAAUUUUGCAGUAACCCUUCCUGUUAGUUUUGCUACAUUCUCUUGGAUUCUGAACUGCUGAUUUAUGUGUCGAUUGAGGUCGCACUUGAACAGUAGGAACUGACGAGAAUUUUUAAUGUAAUUUAGAAGUAAACAAUUGGCUGUAUCGAUGAAUCAUCAA